AUUGAACGCUGGCGGCAUGCCUUACACAUGCAAGUCGAACGGCAGCACGGGAGCAAUCCUGGUGGCGAGUGGCGAACGGGUGAGUAAUAUAUCGGAACGUGCCCGGUCGUGGGGAUAACGUAGCGAAAGCUACGCUAAUACCGCAUACGAUCUACGGAUGAAAGCGGGGGAUCGCAAGACCUCGCGCGAUUGGAGCGGCCGAUAUCAGAUUAGGUAGUUGGUGAGGUAAAGGCUCACCAAGCCGACGAUCUGUAGCUGGUCUGAGAGGACGACCAGCCACACUGGGACUGAGACACGGCCCAGACUCCUACGGGAGCAGCAGUGGGAAUUUUGGACAAUGGGCGCAAGCCUGAUCCAGCAAUGCCGCGUGGCAGGAUGAAGGCCUUCGGGUUAGGUAAC
This 399-nucleotide ribosomal RNA is filed under the name uncultured bacterium. RNAcentral describes it as "bacterial SSU rRNA". It matches the Rfam family "Bacterial small subunit ribosomal RNA", at positions 30 to 430 of the family's 1533-position model. The record is from RNAcentral.